Molecule: ribosomal RNA, 518 nt
Filed under: uncultured Glomus
Lineage: Eukaryota; Fungi; Glomeromycota; Glomeromycetes; Glomerales; Glomeraceae
Description: SSU rRNA
Rfam family: Eukaryotic small subunit ribosomal RNA
Source: RNAcentral
AGCAGCCGCGGUAAUUCCAGCUCCAAUAGCGUAUAUUAAAGUUGUUGCAGUUAAAAAGCUCGUAGUUGAAUUUCGGGGUUAGCAGGUCGGUCGUGCCAUCGGUAUGAACUGGUCUCGCUGAUCCCUCCCUCUUGACGAACUGUGAUGCCAUUAAUUUGGUGUCGCAGGGAAUCAGGACUGUUACUUUGAAAAAAUUAGGGUGUUUAAAGCAGGCUCACGCUUGAAUACAUUAGCAUGGAAUAAUGAAAUAGGACGUUUGAUCCUAUUUUGUUGGCUUCUAGGAUUGACGUAAUGAUUAAUAGGGAUAGUUGGGGGCAUUAGUAUUCAAUUGUCAGAGGUGAAAUUCUUGGAUUUAUUGAAGACUAACUACUGCGAAAGCAUUUGCCAAGGAUGUUUUCAUUAAUCAAGAACGAAAGUUAGGGGAUCGAAGACGAUCAGAUACCGUCGUAGUCUUAACCAUAAACUAUGCCGACUAGGGAUCGGACGAAGUUAAUUUUAAAUGACUCGUUCGGCUACCG